GGGUCAAUGCCCGAGUUGGCUAAUGGGGGCGGAUUGUAAAUCCGCUGGCUUUGCCUACGCUGGUUCGAAUCCAGCUUGGCCCA
This 83-nucleotide transfer RNA is filed under the name Chloroparvula pacifica. RNAcentral's name for it is "tRNA-Tyr". It matches the Rfam family "tRNA". From Rfam's summary of the family: Transfer RNA (tRNA) molecules are approximately 80 nucleotides in length. Their secondary structure includes four short double-helical elements and three loops (D, anti-codon, and T loops). RNAcentral also lists the same sequence under 1 other name. Lineage: Eukaryota; Viridiplantae; Chlorophyta; Chloropicophyceae; Chloropicales; Chloropicaceae. The record is from RNAcentral.